Molecule: long non-coding RNA, 547 nt
Filed under: Eutrema salsugineum
Lineage: Eukaryota; Viridiplantae; Streptophyta; Magnoliopsida; Brassicales; Brassicaceae
Description: long non-coding RNA (ESAL_LNC000438)
Source: RNAcentral
AAAGAUCAUUUAUUUAGUGCUCAAAGCAAUAUAAACUACUUUAUUUUUUUUAUAUGAACUUUACGCUUUAUAAAUCCAUAUCGGUCGUUCAAAAAAAAAAAAAGAUCCAUAUCAAUAUAUAGUACGGUUAUUACGUGCAAUAUACAAUUGAUGAUUAGAAAAAGAUAUAGAGAUAGAACUCCUUUUUGUAAAAGAUAAUGUCUUUAAGGUUUUUCUUUUAAAAUACAUAAAAGGGAGUAUCUUUAGCGUUUUGUGGGAUAUAGAAAUAUGUAAAACGACAAUAAUACCGAACAAAAGGGUUAUGCUUUUUGUGAAUCCAUAUCUCUUUUUAUCUAUGAUUAUGAUAUAGCUUCACUGUGCCUCAGGUACAAUGAAACAAAAGCGUUCACUGUGGCUCAGGUACAAUGAAACAAAAGUAGCCAUUUUCAUGCAAUUAAUGAUGAUUAAUUAUGAUGACUUACAGCAACAUAGAUAUCCUUAAGAGCAAGACCAUAAAGGAGCCAGACGACCGCACUGAGGGUAAGUGACACGGAUAAGCUAAACGGCA